Molecule: ribosomal RNA, 462 nt
Filed under: uncultured bacterium
Lineage: Bacteria
Description: partial 16S ribosomal RNA
Rfam family: Bacterial small subunit ribosomal RNA
Source: RNAcentral
GACGAACGCUUGCGGCGUGCUUAACACAUGCAAGUCGAACGGAAAGGCCCUUCGGGGUACUCGAGUGGCGAACGGGUGAGUAACACGUGGGUGAUCUGCCCUGCACUUUGGGAUAAGCCUGGGAAACUGGGUCUAAUACCGAAUAUGAUCAUCGGCUUCAUGGUCGGUGGUGGAAAGCUUUUGCGGUGUGGGAUGGGCCCGCGGCCUAUCAGCUUGUUGGUGGGGUAAUGGCCUACCAAGGCGACGACGGGUAGCCGGCCUGAGAGGGUGACCGGCCACACUGGGACUGAGAUACGGCCCAGACUCCUACGGGAGGCAGCAGUGGGGAAUAUUGCACAAUGGGCGCAAGCCUGAUGCAGCGACUCCGCGUGAGGGAUGACGGCCUUCGGGUUGUAAACCUCUUUCAGCACAGACGAAGCGCAAGUGACGGUAUGUGCAGAAGAAGGACCGGCCAACUACGUG